GAUGAAGAACGCAGCAAAAUGCGAUAAGUAAUGUGAAUUGCAGAAUUCAGUGAAUCAUCGAAUCUUUGAACGCACAUUGCGCCCGGUAGUAUUCUGCCGGGCAUGCCUGUUCGAGCGUCAUUUCAACCAUCAAGCCCCAGCGCUUGUGUUGGGGGCCUGCGGCUGCCGCAGCCCCCCAAAAGCAGUGGCGGGCUCGCUAUCACACCGAGUGCAGUAGUUCAUCUUCUCUCCGGUCUUGUGAGGCGGGUUCCGGCCGUGAAACACCCCACUACAUUCAAGGUUGACCUCGGAUCAGGUAGGAAUACCCGCUGAACUUAAGCAUAUCAAUAAGCGGAGGA
Molecule: unclassified non-coding RNA, 338 nt
Filed under: soil metagenome
Description: partial contains 5.8S ribosomal RNA, internal transcribed spacer 2, and large subunit ribosomal RNA
Rfam family: 5.8S ribosomal RNA (bases 1-120)
Source: RNAcentral